AACCACCGGUUAAACUGACGGUGGUUCGAAUCCGAGCAGCGCGCGGCGGCGACUCGGGAGACGGAUUUCGCGACGAGGCGGAGGUUCUCGGCGAGCUCGGCGCAGGCGAGUCCCAGUAGAAACGACUCGUCGUUGGAGACGAUCUUGCGGACUCCUUGUAAGGAGAUGGAGUCGUUCUUGAGACGGAUAACGUUCUUGUCGGAGAGGGAUUGCCAGAGGUGGAUGAGCUUGGUCAUUAAGGAGGCUAUCUCGAAGGAGAGGAUGCCGACGGUUUUGGAAGGUUUGGUGGAGGCUGAUCGUGGGAGGUUGAUUGCGGAUUUGACUGCUUUGAUUAGCCAUGUUUCUAGCGGCGCCAUGUGUGUGGGGGAAGUGGAGGUUUCAGAAGGAGGAAUGGAGGGGAGGGGGGGAUUAUGAAGAGAAU
RNAcentral lists this long non-coding RNA (421 nucleotides) under Linum usitatissimum (flax). Its description in RNAcentral is "long non-coding RNA (LUSI_LNC001509)". Lineage: Eukaryota; Viridiplantae; Streptophyta; Magnoliopsida; Malpighiales; Linaceae. The record is from RNAcentral.